RNAcentral lists this ribosomal RNA (484 nucleotides) under uncultured bacterium. RNAcentral's name for it is "partial 16S ribosomal RNA". It matches the Rfam family "Bacterial small subunit ribosomal RNA", at positions 29 to 507 of the family's 1533-position model. The record is from RNAcentral.
AUUGAACGCUGGCGGCAUGCUUUACACAUGCAAGUCGAACGGCAGCGCGGGCUUCGGCCUGGCGGCGAGUGGCGAACGGGUGAGUAAUACAUCGGGACGUGCCCAGUAGUGGGGGAUAGCUCGGCGAAAGCCGGAUUAAUACCGCAUACGACCUGAGGGUGAAAGCGGGGGUUCUUCGGACCUCGCGCUUUUGGAGCGGCCGAUGGCAGAUUAGCUAGUUGGUGGGGUAAAGGCCUACCAAGGCGACGAUCUGUAGCUGGUCUGAGAGGACGACCAGCCACACUGGGACUGAGACACGGCCCAGACUCCUACGGGAGGCAGCAGUGGGGAAUUUUGGACAAUGGGCGAAAGCCUGAUCCAGCAAUGCCGCGUGUGUGAUGAAGGCCUUCGGGUUGUAAAGCACUUUUGGCGGGAACGAAAAGGACUGUGCCAAUACCACGGUUCGAUGACGGUACCCGCAGAAUAAGCACCGGCUAACUACGUG